CUUGACUCUAGAGGUGUUGCAGGUAUGUCUGCUGUGUCACACGCAUGUUCAUAGGUGACAGAUGGGAGAAAGUCUAUGUCUAUGCUCAGUGUUCUGACUUGUGAACAUCUGAAUAGUUAGUAGCCUAACAAU
This is a small nucleolar RNA of Mastomys coucha (southern multimammate mouse), 132 nucleotides long. RefSeq annotates it as small nucleolar RNA SNORA17. The record is from RefSeq and is a predicted model, not a curated record. NCBI's taxonomy places the organism in Eukaryota, Metazoa, Chordata, Mammalia, Rodentia, Muridae. The transcript has a single exon.